This 309-nucleotide unclassified non-coding RNA is filed under the name uncultured Geoglossum. Its description in RNAcentral is "sequence contains ITS1". The stretch from base 1 to 105 matches the Rfam family "5.8S ribosomal RNA", at positions 50 to 154 of the family's 154-position model. The record is from RNAcentral. Lineage: Eukaryota; Fungi; Ascomycota; Geoglossomycetes; Geoglossales; Geoglossaceae.
GAAAUGCGAUAAGUAAUGUGAAUUGCAGAAUUCAGUGAAUCAUCGAAUCUUUGAACGCACAUUGCGCCCCUUGGCAUUCCGAAGGGCAUGCCUGUUCGAGCGUCAUGAUCAAAUCUCAAGCCUGGCUUGGUAUUGGGUUUUCGUCUCUCUUGUCUUUGUACAUGUAGUGACGUGCCUGAAAGUCAAUGGCGGUGCCUCAAUAGACUCAAGCGUAGCAGACUGACUCUCGCUUUGGAGAACUUUUGUAGUCCUGUCAACAAAAUAAACAAGUUGGACCUCGGAUCAGGUAGGGAUACCCGCUGAACUUAA